CAACUUUUGUAAUUUUAAAAAGUGACGUUGCGUCUUGUAAAGGGGCAUUUUUCUGGAUCAGACCGGUCUUCAGCAAAUCACAUUUUGGGUAUACAAUGACGGAUUUAAUCGGGAAAAAGACCCAAUUGUGAUGUUUAUGUGACAUAUAGGAGUGCCAAGAAAGAAGCUCGUCAAAGACUUCACCCUCCCUACACCUCUGAUGAAUAUAACAGGAAACCUGUUCGAUCACCAUGUACUGCAAAAUCAUUCUGGCUAUGGAUACGGAGAACAUCAACACAUUAACAUCAAUACGCCAGAGGAUAUAUCAAUUGGACUUGGGGCUCUGCUGGGAGUUUACUUCAUAUUUAGAUUUUUUUUAUUCUGCUUUGCCACUAAAUCAUAAACAC
This is a long non-coding RNA of Oncorhynchus tshawytscha (Chinook salmon), 386 nucleotides long. NCBI's taxonomy places the organism in Eukaryota, Metazoa, Chordata, Actinopteri, Salmoniformes, Salmonidae. The record is from Ensembl.